UGAAACUAAUGGCUUGAUCAGUUGUCAAGGAGGGCUAACUCAUUCCAUUUUUUCAGGGCAGAGACCAUUUAUUAAAAGGUAGUCGUAGACCUGAGCUACUGACUACUCAUCAUCUCAGGGUCGGCAUUACUACUAAGCGAUUCAAGAGAGACUCGGAAAGGAAAUAAAAAUCAAGAACCACACUUUUCAACUUUAAAUCGUGUAUUUUUCUGUAUCGUGUAAAGUGUGUGUGUGUUUUUGGGGUGAGCACUUCAGGGACAAACGUACCGUUUUACCAGCAGCAGCUUCUUCGGGGUUGAACGCCUUCGGCGUUCUCUUUGCGUUGGCCGGUCACAGGAGCGUCCUCGACUGUGCCGCCGGAAGUCCCGUGGGGGGGGGGGUCGUCUUCGUUGCAGCCGAAUAACGGUUGACGGCUGUUGUUGUUGCUGCGCUGGAAACCGCGAGGCAAGGUCGAGCGGGCGUUGCCGAUCCUUCCUGCGGCAGGCGUCUUCCCUCGUUGUCGGAAUCGGCGGACCUGGCUUCCACCAAUCCGGUCGCGCCGAGAGGGGAAAUCUCGUUGACGGUUAUGGCGCCCUGCGCCAGAGAUUCGGGUUGGUCCUUGACGUUUUAAAUGUAGCCAACGGCACCGCCGCACUUACAGGGCUAGAUUGACCACCGUACGGCACCGAGAUCCGGGAAGCGGGAAAGGUAACCACCGCGGGCACUUCCACUGGAAGGCCAAGACGUGCCCAGUAGUAAAGACGGUACUGACACUCCGGAACCUCGACUGCACCGCACGAACGCCUGAUAGUAAAAGAGGCCGAUUCUUGUCCUCGGCGUCGGAGGUAAACAUUCCUUCCUCAUUUUGGGAGGGAAAAACCCCAUUUUCUUUUCCUCCCACUUUUCGUGCAGUCCUGACCUAGCGCUGUCAGGAUCUGCGUGUUUGCAGCGGUACGGAUAACCCUUCACUGCUUGUGUCGUGUGAUGUUGUAUGUACGGAAAUAAAUUGAAAAGUGAAGGUUCGUUCAAGAACUGUGACCAACGGUUACACUAUCCACCACCCCGGCGAAAAAAAUGUGAAAGCACGACGAGGUUUCGCAUUUUUUUACAACAAUGCUUUGCAUCACCGUCGUCGGCAUCUACUAGAUUCGUGGGUGUGGACAAUUCAACCUACAAUUCUCAGGUACAUUACUGCUACAACGCGCGAGAUAAUGAACCUUCACAAAACAACUCAAAUAAUAAAUAAUACAAACAAAAACAUUCAAUAUUUACAAAAUUUACACCAAAUUAAAAUAAAUAAGUUAACAUAAAUCAUGCAAAAACAAAUUAAAAUAAUUAUUAAAAAUCAUCCCGAAUUAUGGGUAGACAACUCUAUAGUUAUGUUGCGCAACAAAAUAAUUAUGUACAGAAUUUACAAGUUUGGAUCUCUUUCGAUCUCCAAGGGGUGAUUCAACCUCAAGUGAAGCCCCUGCAGCAAACUGUCUCUGCAGUUGACAGAUGCCAAAACGUCACCGCACUAACACAUCGCCGAAUUGUCAGAGCAUAACGCAAUGUUUACAUCUGAUAAUUCAGUUCGGUCGACUGUUAAGUGCGCGAGCGUUUUUUCGUCGUUUUCGGUGUGUUUUUGACGAUGUUUCGUCCGAUAUGUUCAGCUCACAGUGAGCCUGAAAAGUGGUGGUGUUUUGCUGCUAGGUUCUGAAUCUUCCCGAGGAAGAUCAGCCUGCACAAACCCACAAAUAAUCCCGGGAUGAACCAUGGUUUGCCAUCUUGACACAGCAAGAUGAGCACCAGGCUUGGCACUUCUGGCCGGUAUUUUGGUUGGCAGAGUCCCCUCACUGCCGCUCCACAGUCGACGCUCGGACGCAAGGGCACUACGGAUAACCCCUUGGUCGUCUCGUCGGACUGCCAGCGCAGCUAUGGACCUCCAACAUGAGCAUAAAGGUGUUUAGUAACGACUAACCUCCUCCGCAGAUGCUCAUCGGGUCUUCGGGUCGAACCGACAGCGAGUUCCGAGGGAAACCAAUGUUUAACCCCUCACCAACUGCUGCGGUUAACCGACCCUCGGUCGACUUACAUCGUUAGAGUUAGUCAGUGUUACUAAACUCUGUAUUGAUUAUGAAUAAAGAUUCAUUUUAUUUUCA
Molecule: long non-coding RNA, 2120 nt
Organism: Culex pipiens pallens (northern house mosquito)
Lineage: Eukaryota; Metazoa; Arthropoda; Insecta; Diptera; Culicidae
Exons: 4
Source: RefSeq, a predicted model, not a curated record